GUGUCAGCCGCCGCGGUAAGACGGAGGAUGCAAGCGUUAUCCGGAAUGAUUGGGCGUAAAGCGUCCGCAGGUGGCAAUUCAAGUCUGCUGUUAAAGCGCAGGGCUUAACUCUGUAAAGGCAGUGGAAACUGAAUAGCUAGAGUGUGGUAGGGGCAGAGGGAAUUCCCAGUGUAGCGGUGAAAUGCGUAGAGAUUGGGAAGAACAUCGGUGGCGAAGGCGCUCUGCUGGACCAUAACUGACACUCACAUGACGAAAGCUAGGGGAGCGAAUGGGAUUAGAUACCCCAGUAGUCCUAGCCGUAAACGAUGGAUACUAGGUGUUGUCUGUAUCGACCCGGACAGUGCCGUAGCUAACGCGUUAAGUAUCCCGCCUGGGGAGUACGCACGCAAGUGUGAAACUUAAAUGAAUUGACGGGG
Molecule: ribosomal RNA, 416 nt
Filed under: uncultured cyanobacterium
Lineage: Bacteria; Bacillati; Cyanobacteriota
Description: bacterial SSU rRNA
Rfam family: Bacterial small subunit ribosomal RNA
Source: RNAcentral